GAUGAACGCUGGCGGCGUGCCUAAUACAUGCAAGUAGAACGCUGAAGGAAGGAGCUUGCUCUUUCCGGAUGAGUUGCGAACGGGUGAGUAACGCGUAGGUAACCUGCCUGGUAGCGGGGGAUAACUAUUGGAAACGAUAGCUAAUACCGCAUAACAGUAGAUAUUGCAUGAUAUCUGCUUGAAAGGGGCAAUUGCUCCACUACCAGAUGGACCUGCGUUGUAUUAGCUAGUUGGUGAGGUAACGGCUCACCAAGGCGACGAUACAUAGCCGACCUGAGAGGGUGAUCGGCCACACUGGGGCUGAGACACGGCCCAGACUCCUACGGGAGGCAGCAGUAGGGAAUCUUCGGCAAUAGACGGAAGUCUGACCGAGCAACGCCGCGUGAGUGAAGAAGGUUUUCGGAUCGUAAAGCUCUGUUGUAAGAGAAGAACGAGUGUGAGAGUGGAAAGUUCACACUGUGACGGUAUCUUACCAGAAAGGGACGGCUAACUACGUG
Molecule: ribosomal RNA, 497 nt
Filed under: uncultured bacterium
Lineage: Bacteria
Description: partial 16S ribosomal RNA
Rfam family: Bacterial small subunit ribosomal RNA
Source: RNAcentral